CUUCUUCGGCGAAGAAAAUGGCCAGGCACCCAGGCGUCGACUGGUCGACGACGGCUCUGUUCCAACAAGUCCGCGUCGUCGGCGUCCGGCCGGGCGCGCUGCAAAGUCAUGACAGAAGAAAAAAAACAUGCGCGAGCGUGACGGGCAAGAAGACUCCAGCAGAUCGAGGUUAAUUGCUAGUACAUUUCAACUCUUGGCCGCGGCACAAACACGUGCUUGUCCCUCUGUUAAUUACUACUAUAUUGCUAGAUUUCAACUAAUAUAGGCGACAAAUAAAAAAGAACGGAGGGAGUAAUUAGCAUCUGGAAUCAAUCCAUAUAUAUAGGAGGAUUACAUACAUAUGCAUCUGCAUGCAGCUGGGCAUGGCGAGCGCGCUGGAGACGCUGUGCGGGCAGUCGUACGGGGCGAAGCAGUACCACAUGCUGGGCAUCUACCUGCAGCGGUCGUGGAUCAUCCUGUCGGCGUGCGCCGUGGUGCAGCUCCCCGUGUACCUGUUCACGGAGCCGCUGCUGGUGGCGCUGGGGCAGGACCCGGACAUCUCGGCGGUGGCGGGGACCGUGGCGCUCUGGUACAUCCCCGUGCUCUUCUCCUUCGUCUGGGCCUUCCCGCUGCAGAUGUACCUGCAGGCGCAGAUCAAGAACAUGAUCAUCACGUACCUCGCCAUGCUCAACCUCGGCCUCCACCUCGCCCUGUCCUGGCUCGCCGCCGUCCACCUCCGCCUCGGCCUCGCCGGCGUCAUGGGCUCCAUGGUCGUCGCCAUGUGGAUCCCCGU
Molecule: long non-coding RNA, 772 nt
Filed under: Zea mays
Lineage: Eukaryota; Viridiplantae; Streptophyta; Magnoliopsida; Poales; Poaceae
Description: long non-coding RNA (ZMAY_LNC000212)
Source: RNAcentral